AAGACUAUGCUUUCAGGGAUCAGUUCUAAGUAUGUUACUAGAGAAGUUUCUCUGAUCAUGUAGAGCAUCCAAAACCAUGAGUAGGAGUCAGAGCAUCCUCUCCUGAGCAUGAAGUUGGUUCUAGCUGUUGCUUUUGCAACUGCCUUUUGCCAUUGAUAAUCAUUCUUCUCUUCCUUUGGAAGGGUUAGAGGGAGAGAAUGCAGUCCGAGUAGU
Small nucleolar RNA from Suncus etruscus (white-toothed pygmy shrew), 213 nucleotides. RefSeq annotates it as small nucleolar RNA U3. NCBI's taxonomy places the organism in Eukaryota, Metazoa, Chordata, Mammalia, Eulipotyphla, Soricidae. The record is from RefSeq and is a predicted model, not a curated record. The transcript has a single exon.